Molecule: long non-coding RNA, 2469 nt
Organism: Sapajus apella (tufted capuchin)
Lineage: Eukaryota; Metazoa; Chordata; Mammalia; Primates; Cebidae
Exons: 2
Source: RefSeq, a predicted model, not a curated record
GAAAAGAAAAAAAAGAAAAUAGCACUGAGGUGUAAGGAGUGACUGGCUUCAGUUUCUAUUUGUUUAGUAUUUUGGCUCAGGAAGCACAUGCUGGUGAGUCUAGUGCUCUCGGUCAGUCUGUGAGCCUGGGGUCAAAAUUAUCUUCGUUUUACAAAUGAGAACACAGGUUGCCCUUGUCCUUUCCAGGGGCCCCCAAAGCCCUGGCUCUGCACUACACACAUGGUUGAUCGUGAAGCAUUGGCCUGAUGGACCUGGGGCUCGCAAAGGUGAACUGGCCUCAUUCCCAAGUUCAUCCGAUUGAGCCACAAAAAGCAUCCAUGGUUUCAUUCUGGACUUUUGACACCCUGCCGCUUUUUGCUGAUAGUUUGCUUGGGCAGUGAUUCUGCGUGGGUGGCUCCUUUUUCUGAAAAGCCCGGUGUUCAGGGUUGUCCCAUGAACUCAGAAGGCUCCUACUGUCUUUGGGAGAGUGAGGCAGGGGUGGAGCGAACUGGAGUCUCGGCCAUGCUUUUCGUCAUCUGUUGCAGCUUCUUUGCCAUCCAGACCACUCUAUGCAAAAUUCUUUCCUUCUUGGCUCAAGAUGCAAGAAGAUUGUAUCAGGGUUCUCUAAAGAAACAGCCAACAAAAGAUACUUAUCUUUCUCUCUCUCCCUUUUGCUCUCUCUUCUAUCCAUCUAUCAUCAGUCUAGCUAUCCAUCUAUCAUCCAUCUCUCUACCUACCUACCUAUCUACCUGACUACAUUUAUUUUAAGGAAUUGGCUCCCACAGUGUGGGCGCUAGCAAGUCUGAAGCCGCAGGGGAGAUUGACAGGCUGCAAAUUCAGAAUAAUUCUGGGCACUGUCUCAGGCUUUCAUGCUCUUCUUGGCACCUCCACUUGCCCACCUGUCACCUACGAGACUGAGGCUGCUCUAAGUUGAACCAAGUAUUUGAAGAUGAAUCCCUCUCUUGGCUGCACCUGUUCAAACUUUCUCUAUGGACUUUUUUUUUUAGAAAACCUGAACCAAGCAAAUCAUCUUCACAAAAUUUGUCCAAAUGCCAAGAAGGCAAGGAAAAUUUAGUAUUGAUUCGAUGUUUACGAUUAUGGCUAAUGUAUUCAUGGUAGAUAACAUUUAUGAUACAGCAAAAUUGUACAUCCACGUAUUCACGAGUAUAUAAUGGAACCUCUCGUAAUUAGCACAUAUAAUAUAUUUAUAGUAUAUUUAUUCCAUCUUGAGUAGAUUUUUCUGGUAAGUAAUUUAAGAACUGUUUUAUAGAUGGUGAGACGGUUUGGAUUUGUGUCCCCGCCCAGAUCUCCUGUUGAAUGGGAGGAGGGGCCUGGUGGUGUUACCACAUGGAAGGUCUUGACUGUGAGUUGUGCAGGUUCUUGGUGUGUUGAAUGAAGAAGUGAACAAAACACACAAACAAAGCGACAAAAGAACGAAGCAACAAAAUCACAGAUUAAUUGAAGUGAAAGUGCACUCCACAGAGUGGGAACAUGCUGGAACAAGCAGCUCCAGAGCCCCCAGUUGCAGUGUUCUUUGGAGUUUGCAUUAGGCUAAAAGAAUCUGGUAACACUCUGACGUGCUCUUGGGAGGCCUCAGUUGGUUACACCCUAUGAAGGAUUGGCCCGUGGUCAGUCAGAGGCUGAAGUGGAGACCAGGCCCGUGGUCAAUCAGAGGCUGAAGUGGAAACUUCUGUCUUGUUAUCACAGGAGCCAGGAAGUGGCCUGCGUGCCGCUCACCCUUGCCUGGAAGUGGCUGCACCUGCUGUUCUUCCAUGUGUGCGUUAACCCUUGGUUACCCUAAUUCCCUAUUCUCCUGCCUCAGUGGGAGGUGAUGGGAUCGUAGGAGCGGAGCUCCCCUUGCAGUUCAUGCCAUAGCGAGUGAGUUCUCGUGAGAUCUGGGUGUUUAGCCGUGUGCGGCGCCUCCCGCUUCUCUCCUGCUGCCGUAGGAAGAUGUGCUUGCCCUCCCUCUGCCUUCUGCUGUGACCGUGAGUUUCCUGAGGCCUCCAGGUCAUCCUUCCUGUUAAGCCUGCAGAACUGUGAGUCAAUUAUACCUCUUUUCUUUAUCAAUUACCCAGUCUCGGGUAGCUGUUUAUAGCAGUGUGAAAAUGGACUAAUACAGAUGGGUUGUCUUCGCUUUCAGUAUAUUUACGGUGCUGAAUCAAUUUCCAGUUACAAUGUUAUUUCCAUGAGGGAACGACAGGCUGUUUUAUGACCUGCUUUAUGAAAUAGUUUUCCAGAAUUCAUCUUGGCCAGAGUGACAGUGCCUAGUGGCCUUUGACCCCUGACCUUUUCCCUCCCCUCCUCGUUCUGCUCCGUUGUGCCCCAGUGUUGCUGGAGGGUGGCACCCAGUUACCUCUGGUGUUGAGAGGGUAGUACAGAUGUCUAUUUUUAGGUCUAUAUCCUGAGAAUCAGGUUAAAUCUAUUAAAAUGGAAUGUUUGCUUUGUAAGAAGGAAUUUGUGUGUAUGUCUGUCUUGAAGUAACGUCCCUGU